GUACAUUGAUCAUGAUGGCAUCACAGCUUAAAGUACAGAGCGCUUAUUUUGAAGUGGCAGAGUUGAUCUUGGGCAAGACUCUUUCUGGGAGUAGAGGAAGAAGAUCAGGAAUAAACCUUGUGUUUAGAAGAAAGAAAUGAGAGGUACUGAGUUGCUUUCCUCUUCUUCCAUAUGCUGAAACGGAAGAAAUGAAAGAAAUCUGGAAGAGUCACGGGCUCUCUGAAUUGCUAGAAAACAUGGGACAUGAACAAUGAUGUGUCAUAUGGUUUGAUUGAAAAGAUACUUAAUGACCCAACACCAACAAGGGACGCUGUCUUUUCUCGUCACUUCUGAAAGAAAUAGUACAGGAGUGGGAAAGGGGGAAGCAGCCUGGAGUAUUUUCCAGAACCACUUGAUGUCUUAAAAGCUGACCGUCCUCAUCAAUGCAGAGAUUUGGCCCUCGCAGCUGACCGUCCUCAUCGAUGCAGAGAUUUGGCCCUCGCAGCUGACCAUCCUCAUCCAUGUAGAGAUUUGGCCCUCGCAGCUGACCGUCCUCAUCGAUGCAGAGAUUUGGCCCUCGCAGCUGACCAUCCUCAUCCAUGUAGAGAUUUGGCCCUCGCAGCUGACCAUCCUCAGCGAUGCGGAGAUUUGGCCCUCGCAGCUGACAGUCCUCAUCGAUGCAGAGAUUUGCUUCUGUCCCCAGGGUUUUCGUACAUGAGGCUCCUGGAUCCUUACAACACGAUGACAUAAGUACCUUCACACUUGAGGACACUAAGGCUCAGGGAGAAGUAACCCGCCAGCAAUCGAUGAAUCUGGAAUGUGAAUGCCUCUCCUUUCACUCUAUAUCCCUGUUCUUUUCCAGAUAGGAUGUACACGAUCAUUUCUCAACUGCAUAUAUAAAGCAACAGAGAAAAUGUUCUCUGCAAUUGACGAUCAAGACAAAAAAAGCCUCCUUUGUAUUACGGUGCAAUGUAGACUUACUUAACUUUUGUCAGUGGAAAUGUCAAACUUAUUUUAAGAAAAAUGUUCAAAAGAUUUCAAAGAUAUCAGAGGACACCUCAAUAAAAGAACAAUGGCUAUUUUCUCUACACUUCCCUCCCAGCUUUCUGGUGAUGGAGGCCUUUGAGGAAAUUGUAGCUCAGCCUCUUCUUCCACUGGCCCUGAGUGUACUUGGCAAAGCCCAAUUGCCUGGAGGUAAGUUCCUCUCCAGAGUUCCUGUCUUCAAGCAUCACCUCUUGCUGCUCUCACCUUCUGUUUCUCCAAGUCUGUGUUCUGUUUCCAUACAGAAUGGGAGAUGGAAGAGGAAACAGAGGCAGAACUACCCUUUAUUCUUCCGUGGUAAAAUGAUGAACUAA
RNAcentral lists this long non-coding RNA (1334 nucleotides) under Callithrix jacchus (white-tufted-ear marmoset). Its description in RNAcentral is "lncRNA (ENSCJAG00000078938.1)". The record is from RNAcentral. Lineage: Eukaryota; Metazoa; Chordata; Mammalia; Primates; Cebidae.